RNAcentral lists this ribosomal RNA (301 nucleotides) under uncultured bacterium. RNAcentral's name for it is "bacterial SSU rRNA". It matches the Rfam family "Bacterial small subunit ribosomal RNA", at positions 30 to 313 of the family's 1533-position model. The record is from RNAcentral.
AGUGAACGCUGGCGGCAGGCCUAACACAUGCAAGUCGAGUGGCAGCGGGUCCCCNCGAGGGGAUGCCGGCGAGCGGCGGACGGGUGAGGAACACAUCGGAAUCUGCCUGGUUGUGGGGGAUAACGUAGGGAAACUUACGCUAAUACUGCAUGCGACCCUGAGUCGACGGACUGGGGGUGAAAGUGAGGGACCUUCGGGCCUCACGCGACCAGAUGAGCCGAUGUCGGANAGUCUAGUUGGCGGGGUAACGGCCCGCCAAGGCGACGAUCCGUAGCUGGUCUGAGAGGAUGAUCAGCCACAC